CUCUUGCACAGUUUGUAUUUUUUAUUGUUGAGUAUUGGAAAUUCUAUAUUUAUAUUGAAUACAAGUUCUUCUUUUUGAGUUCAUAAUAGUUUACAUCAUUGUGAAAUUUCAGUUGUACAUAUUUCUUGUCACUACGCAAGUGCUCCCCUUCACCCCCUGUGCCCACCCCCCACUCCCCUUCCCCUGGUAACCACUGAACUGUUUUCUUUGUCCAUGUGUUUGUUUGUAUUCCACAUAUGAGUGAAAUCAUAUGGUGUUUGUCUUUCUCAGUCUGGCUUAUUUCGCUUAGCAUAAUUCCCUCCAGAUCCAUCCACGUUGUUGCAAAAGGGAGAAUUUUGUCUUUUUUUAUGGUUGAAUGGUAUUCCAUUGUAUAUAUAUGCCACAUCUUCUUUAUCCAAUCAUCAGUCGAUGGACACUUGGAAUGUUUCCAUGUCUUGCCUAUUGUGAAUAAUGCUGCAAUGAACAUAGGGGUGCAUAUGUUACUUUGGAUUGUUGAUUUCAAUUUGUUUGGGUAGAUACCCAGUAGUGGGAUAGCUGGGUCAUAAGGUAUAUCUGUUUAGUUUUUUGAGGAAUCUCCAUACUGUUUUCCAUAGUGGCUGCACUAGUUUGCAUUCCCACCAAGCAUACAAGUUCUUUACCAGAUGCAGUUGACCUUCCGGAUCCACAUAUACUAUGUUUGUAAUCCGUGGUUGGUUGAAUCUUCGGAUGGAGUCGACUAAAGGACUAGAGCGUCCGUGGAUUUUGGUAUCUGCAGGGGCGUCCUGGAACCAAUCCUCCACGGGUGGGCUUCCUCAUGGUCUCACAAUGACUGCUACAGUUCCAGGUGGCACAUGAAGAAAGCAACAUCCAGAAGUACAAAGUGGACCUUCUUUUCUCUGCGUUUAUUUUAAAGAUCAAGGAAAACUUUUCUAGAAGGCUCUUGUAUCAGUUAGAGUCCUGGUAUAAAACAGAAUGCACAAAGUGACAGAUUAUAUUUUCCAAAGACGUCUGCAGCAACCUCUCCUAUCCCAAUUUGCUUUUCUACCAUGUGACCCUGCAACUCCUCUAUUAAGAGGUGGAGUCAAAUUAUCCUCCCCUCGAAUAUGAGUAGGCUUGUGAGUAUAUCAAUCAUUAGAGUAUAGCAGAAAUAAUGCUGUGUGACUUUUGAGGCUGUCAUAUAAAAUGAUGCAGCUUCUGCCUGAUUCACUGUAACACUCACGCUUGCAGCCCUGAGCCACCAUGUAAGAACUCCAACUGAGACAACCAUGCCAUAGAGACCAAAUGAACUCUGGUCAACAGCUCAACUGAGCAAGCAUCAACUGUCAGGCAUGUUGAUUGAGCCAUCUUAAAUAUCCUGCACAGUUAAGCCUUCAGAUGACUGCAGCCCCAGUUGACAUUUAACUACAACCAAGAGACCCAAAGAAAACAUUAUUCAGCUGAGCCCUUUCCAAAUUCCCGACCCAAAAGUUGUGAGAAAAAUAAAGUGGUUGUUUUAAGCCACUAUGUUUUUGGGUAAUUUGUUACACAUCUCUAUUAAUUGGAACUCAUACUCAAACAAGAUAGCUAAGGAGAGUUUAAUGAAGAGAGCAUGGACAAG
Long non-coding RNA from Equus asinus (donkey), 1576 nucleotides. NCBI's taxonomy places the organism in Eukaryota, Metazoa, Chordata, Mammalia, Perissodactyla, Equidae. The record is from Ensembl.